CCUGGCUUGGCCCGCGGCGGAAUUCCAGACUUCAGCCAAUGUGAUCUCACCGGCGUUCAUAGCCCUCCCUUCUCAGGAGGGAGGGGGCCCAGGCUGGUUUCACCAGCAUCUGCCAGUCGAUUCAUCUUCACAGGAUGACAAAGGAGUCCCAGAAAAGGCCUCAGGCUCUGGGGAUGUGACUGCAGAGCAGCAGCCUCCCUCUGCCAUCUGCUGUCAAACUGUGGGAUGAACUUGGUGGUCUGAAAAGGCACGGAGCCCCGAGUGCUGCUGCAAGGCUGAGGCGUGCCCUGGGAUCUGUUACCACUGAUGCCAGCUGGGGAUAAAUGGAAGAAGAGCGGGGACAGACCGUGACUCCAACUUACUGCACAUAGGUCUGAAGGUCCUUGAGUUAAUAUCUACUAAUCAGGGAAGGGACUGGUGCAGCAGUGGAUCGGAAAAUCCCAUGAUCUUGGGGUUCUAUAAAAUCAAAGCAUCACCGAUAGAAUUUUAAGAGGUGAAUGGGAACUUGGGACUUCUAAGUCUAACCCCUACCUGAUCAGGAAUUCCUUCUAUUAUAUCUAAAUCUAUAUCUACAUUUUUUUUUCAAAACUCUUACCUGCUAUUUUAGGAUUAUUACUAAGUAUCAGUUUUAAGGCAGAAGGACAGUAGGCAGAGUCAAGGCAAUUGGGGUUAAGUGACUUGCCCAGGGUCACACAGCUAGGAAGUAUCUGAGGUCACAUUUGAACCCCAGAACUCCCAUUUCCAGGCUUGGUUCCCUAUCCACUGAGCCAUUACUUGUCUCAACCUUAGAUUCUUUCAACUGAUCCUCACAUUUAGGGGCAGCUAAAUGGCACAGUGCCUAGCUUGGAGUUGGGAAGACCCAAAUUCAAAUCUGGCUUCGUAUGAACCAGGCAAAUCAUGUAACUUCUAUUUGUCUCAGUUUCCUCAUCUGUAAAGUGAGGAUAAUAAUAGUACCUACCUCCCUGAGGACCAAAUGAGAUAAUAAUGAUACAGAACUUAGCACCAUGCCUAGCACAUAGUAAGUGCUAAAUAAAUAUUAGCUAUUAUUACCAUGUCAUGACUCUAAGGUCCCUCCCCACCCUGACCCCUCUCCUCUAGACUUGUUCCAGCUUGUCCAUGUGGUGCCAGAUGGAUUCUGACCAAAGAUAGAGUUGCAUUAUAUAGUUUAGGAUAAAAUCAAGGUUAUUUAUUACCUUUUCUUCACAGGAUUCCAUUGAAACACGAAUAACAAUCCUGUGCUAUAAAUUCUUGCAAAGACAGGUUGUUAUUACAUACUCAGCCUACAAAGCUCUGGGCCUUCUUUCCCCAGAUAAAUGUAGGGAUUAAGUAAACGAGGGAGUGUCUUCCCUGGGAGGGGCAGCUACUGUACAAGGGUGGGAAAAGACAGCUAGAGAAUCACAAUGUUAAGGAUGACUUUGGAGAUCAUUUGAUCCAUUCCCCUUAGUUUAUAUAGGAGGAAACUGAAUCCCAGAGAGAAAAGGUCUUGUGGAAGGAAACAGAGCCAGUCUAUGACAGAGUUAGGACCAAACCCUGAGUCUUCUGAUCUUUAGUUUCUACUAUCCCUGGCAAAUAAGAGAAUGGGUGUAGGGAUCAGAUUCUGCCAUUGUCUACAGAGGACUCAUAGAAGCUGUAAUGGGGCACUCAGGGACAUUCAGGCAGCUUCUGGAAGAACACCCGGACAUAAGCCCUAGUCUCCAAUGAGGCGGAUGCAAAGUGAGGGGCCAUGUUCCUGGCAUAUCUGGGGGGGGGGAUGAGGCAGAUUUGAGGAUAGGGGAAGUGAUGUGGAAUUCUGAACACAUCUUUCCACUGCAUCUCCUACAAAUCUCUUAAGGAAUUUAAAUGAUAUUGGGUGGCAGCAUAGUAUUUUCCAAAGCUAGAACUCAGAUUCAGGUUAUAGGUUUGGCUCUGCUGCUUCAUUAUUUCUAUCUUGGCCAACCAUGGUGGGCCUCAGGUUCUUCCUAAGUAGACUGAGUGUUGGAUUAGAUACCUCCAAGAAACAUCUCAGCUUUAACCUUCUCUAUUCCAUGACCCCCCCUCCAGCUCAGAAAUGUUCCAAGGUCCUACCAAGUUUGGAAAUUCUUGGCUCUGAGGUCCCUUUGAGAGCCUGUGUUCUAUUUUCUAAGGUUGCUUCCAGUUUUAAACUCUAAAAGCCCUUCUAGUCUAAAGGUUUUAUAAUUUUAAAACUGUUUGCACUAGAUGAAAUUUCCAAAAUACAUUCUUUUAAUUAGGCUUGAUUCCAAAGAGCAGGCAAACCAUUGUGGUAGUGUGUUUUCUGGGUAACUUGUUACCAAAAUACCACAUUGGGUAGUUCCCUCUAUCAGAUCAUGUAUGUUGGGGUGUGUCAUCAGUCUGUCUGUUAUCAUGUGUCUGCAUUUCUCCUCCUCCCACCUCUCUAACCUCUUGUCUUCUCUCUCUUCACGCCUACGUGUGAGUCUCUGAGGAAUAAUACAAACAGAAGGAUGCCCUGGUUCCCUACAGGGAGGAUCGAGAAAAGAACAGGUGCUUACCAAACGCUGUCACUGCCUCUCUCUAAUGGGUUUCCCUGAGAGUCAUAGUAGACAUCUACCGUUAGGCUGCGGUCUGUGUCGUGGGCCGAGUUAAAGUUGGUGAUCACCCGGGAAGGAAUCCCCAAACAUCGAAGCACUGGAAGCCAAAAACCAGGCUGAUCCCUGCCUUACUCUCUGGGCAGAAGGCCCUGGAUACGCCAACCAUGAAGUCAGAGGAAGAAUAGCCAUGAGGCGGGGCCAGAGGUAGAAUUGUUUUCUUACCAUGCCGCUCAGCACACGGCCAAUAUAUUUCGGGUCAUUUCUUCGGGCCACGUCGGUGACAGGGUCACGGCGGAAAUUGAGACUCCGGUCCAGGAUGGAGAGGCAAAUAUUCAGGAUGUCGUCCUCAAACUGUUCAGAAAGAGAAGCCUGCAGUUAAUAGUCAAUUUGUAACCUGUACGGAAGGAAGCAGAGGGCACCUAAGAGAGGGUCACAAGAUAAACUCCAGGGUCCCUUGACUCGGGGGCUUCUGGCACCCACACAGGGACAGCCAAAGGAUUCUUCCCUUGCUUCUCCCCUGAGCCGGCCUGCCCACACUGGAGGAGAAAAGUGUGCUGGGACUUCAGAGGAGUCACUUGAUCUCUUGAGCACUAAGCUGCCUUGCUUCUGCAUCCUAAGGACCAUGGGACUUCCCGUUCAGCUGCCUGGCAGCUGAAACCUUUCCUCCGUGGUGUGGAGCUCCUUGAGAGCAGGGACUCUCUGACUUCAAUAUCUGUAUCCCUGGUGCUAGACAGGAUGAAUAUCUGGUGCACAUAUAUGAUAUUAAAUGGGAUAGUCUGUGAAGAAGAUGAAUUGCACACAAUUGUCAGUGCAUUAAAGAAGUCUCGCCACCUUAGACUAUUCUGAGAAGCCUGAGAACACAUCUUGGGGAUAUUCUGGACAAAUGUUUCAGGAUUUUAGAACAAUUUGGUUUUUCUGUAUGUCUGGGCUAUCAUCCCCUACUGCCUCCCGUGGAGAGAUGAAAUCACACACACACACACAUGCACACACAUGCACACCUCAAUCUAUUUAUCUCAGCCUGGCUCGGAGACAGCAUGGCUUAAGGGACAGGCCCCUGGCUUCUGGCUUGAGAAUGAGAACUGGAAUUCUAAUUUUAUGCAAGUCACUUUGCUACUCUGCAGAACAAGCUAACGUGCUAUGUCCAGAAGUUUGGCUAUGUGCACCCUAUAAUUGUCAUUUGGGUAAUAUUUGCUGUCCCCAGCCCUAAAAUGGAAAUCAAAUGAUAGGUGGGACACAAAAAUGUUUCGGCUGUGCAAUCCAAACACCUAUGCCAUGGGCAGCAAUUGGAUGCUGAUACUUCUUCUUGACAAAGGGCAACCUUUAGGAAAGGAUGCAGAGACUUAUCUCAUCUGCAUGCAAUUGUCGCUUUGUUUGUAGGGUUGUUUUGGAGGUUAUGUUUCUGUGUGUUGAGGUGGAAAUCACAGACAUUUUGUAAUGACACAAACCAGAGAAAUUCAUGUUCUCUGGUAUUACAAAAUUACAGAGAUGGAAGGGCCAUCAGAGCUCCUGUAGUCAGUCCAACUUGAACCUAAGCAGGGAUCCUUCUACAACAUUCCAAAUAAGUAGCUAUCUAGCCUUUAUUUGAAGACCCCCAACGAGGAGGAAGGAACCUGUUUACUAUUAAGGUGACCCUUUCUAUUUUUAGAUUGUCCUAAUUUUUGAGAAAAAAUGUUCUUACAUUAAGAGUUCUAAUAUUCUA
Monodelphis domestica (gray short-tailed opossum) is the source of this 4245-nucleotide non-coding RNA. NCBI's taxonomy places the organism in Eukaryota, Metazoa, Chordata, Mammalia, Didelphimorphia, Didelphidae. The record is from RefSeq and is a predicted model, not a curated record.